UACGGAGGGUGCAAGCGUUGUCCGGAUUUAUUGGGUUUAAAGGGUGCGUAGGUGGCUUUGUAAGUCAGUGGUGAAAUCUCGGAGCUUAACUCCGCAACUGCCAUUGAUACUGCUUAGCUUGAAUCAAGUAGAGGUGGAUGGAAUAUUACAUGUAGCGGUGAAAUGCUUAGAUAUGUAAUAGAACACCGAUUGCGAAGGCAGUUCACUAUGCUUGUAUUGACACUGAGGCACGAAAGCGUGGGGAUCAAACAGG
RNAcentral lists this ribosomal RNA (253 nucleotides) under uncultured bacterium. RNAcentral's name for it is "partial 16S ribosomal RNA". It matches the Rfam family "Bacterial small subunit ribosomal RNA", at positions 524 to 776 of the family's 1533-position model. The record is from RNAcentral.